RNAcentral lists this ribosomal RNA (253 nucleotides) under uncultured bacterium. RNAcentral's name for it is "partial 16S ribosomal RNA". It matches the Rfam family "Bacterial small subunit ribosomal RNA", at positions 524 to 776 of the family's 1533-position model. The record is from RNAcentral.
UACAGAGGGGGCAAGCGUUGUUCGGAAUUAUUGGGCGUAAAGGGCGCGUAGGCGGCCUGGCAAGUGGAAGGUGAAAUCCCUCGGCUUAACCGAGGAACUGCCCUCCAAACUGCUUGGCUUGAGACCGGGAGAGGUGAGUGGAAUUCCCAGUGUAGCGGUGAAAUGCGUAGAUAUUGGGAGGAACACCAGUGGCGAAGGCGGCUCACUGGACCGGUACUGACGCUGAUGCGCGAAAGCGUGGGGAGCAAACGGG